GCCUAAAGCGUCCGUAGCCGGCUCUGUAAGUUUUCGGUUAAAUCCAUAUGCUCAACAUAUGGGCCGCCGGGAAUACUGCAUAGCUAGGGAGUGGGAGAGGUAGACGGUACUCCGUAGGAAGGGGUAAAAUCCUUUGAUCUAUGGAUGACCACCUGUGGCGAAGGCGGUCUGCCAGAACACGUUCGACGGUGAGGGAUGAAAGCUGGGGGAGCAAACCGGAUUAGAUACCCGGGUAGUCCCAGCUGUAAACUAUGCAAACUCAGUGAUGCAUUGGCUUGUGGCCAGUGCAGUGCCGCAGAGAAGUCGUUAAGUUUGCCGCCUGGGAAGUACGUACGCAAGUAUGAAACUUAAAGGAAUUGGCGGGGGAGCACCACAAGGGGUGAAGCCUGCGGUUCAAUUGGAGUCAACGCCAGAAAUCUUACCCGGAGAGACAGCAGAAUGAAGGUCAAGCUGAAGACUUUACCAGACAAGCUGAGAGGUGGUGCAUGGCCGUCGCCAGCUCGUGCCGUGAGAUGUCCUGUUAAGUCAGGUAACGAGCGAGAUCCCUGCCUCUAGUUGCCACCAUUACUCUCAGGAGUAGUGGGGCGAAUUAGCGGGACCGCCGCAGUUAAUGCGGAGGAAGGAAGGGGCCACGGCAGGUCAGUAUGCCCCGAA
RNAcentral lists this ribosomal RNA (654 nucleotides) under uncultured archaeon. RNAcentral describes it as "bacterial SSU rRNA". It matches the Rfam family "Archaeal small subunit ribosomal RNA", at positions 508 to 1160 of the family's 1478-position model. The record is from RNAcentral.